GAUUAAGUUAUUAAGGGCGCACGGUGGAUGCCUUGGCACUAGAAGCCGAUGAAGGACGUUACUAACGACGAUAUGCUUUGGGGAGCUGUAAGUAAGCUUUGAUCCAGAGAUUUCCGAAUGGGGAAACCCAGCAUGAGUUAUGUCAUGUUAUCGAUAUGUGAAUACAUAGCAUAUCAGAAGGCACACCCGGAGAACUGAAACAUCUUAGUACCCGGAGGAAGAGAAAGAAAAUUCGAUUCCCUUAGUAGCGGCGAGCGAAACGGGAAGAGCCCAAACCAACAAGCUUGCUUGUUGGGGUUGUAGGACACUCUAUACGGAGUUACAAAGGACGACAUUAGACGAAUCAUCUGGAAAGAUGAAUCAAAGAAGGUAAUAAUCCUGUAGUCGAAAAUGUUGUCUCUCUUGAGUGGAUCCUGAGUACGACGGAGCACGUGAAAUUCCGUCGGAAUCUGGGAGGACCAUCUCCUAAGGCUAAAUACUCUCUAGUGACCGAUAGUGAACCAGUACCGUGAGGGAAAGGUGAAAAGCACCCCGGAAGGGGAGUGAAAUAGAACCUGAAACCGUGUGCUUACAAGUAGUCAGAGCCCGUUAAUGGGUGAUGGCGUGCCUUUUGUAGAAUGAACCGGCGAGUUACGAUUUGAUGCAAGGUUAAGCAGUAAAUGUGGAGCCGUAGCGAAAGCGAGUCUGAAUAGGGCGCUUAGUAUUUGGUCGUAGACCCGAAACCAGGUGAUCUACCCUUGGUCAGGUUGAAGUUCAGGUAACACUGAAUGGAGGACCGAACCGACUUACGUUGAAAAGUGAGCGGAUGAACUGAGGGUAGCGGAGAAAUUCCAAUCGAACCUGGAGAUAGCUGGUUCUCUCCGAAAUAGCUUUAGGGCUAGCCUCAAGUGAUGAUUAUUGGAGGUAGAGCACUGUUUGGACGAGGGGCCCCUCUCGGGUUACCGAAUUCAGACAAACUCCGAAUGCCAAUUAAUUUAACUUGGGAGUCAGAACAUGGGUGAUAAGGUCCGUGUUCGAAAGGGAAACAGCCCAGACCACCAGCUAAGGUCCCAAAAUAUAUGUUAAGUGGAAAAGGAUGUGGCGUUGCCCAGACAACUAGGAUGUUGGCUUAGAAGCAGCCAUCAUUUAAAGAGUGCGUAAUAGCUCACUAGUCGAGUGACACUGCGCCGAAAAUGUACCGGGGCUAAACAUAUUACCGAAGCUGUGGAUUGUCCUUUGGACAAUGGUAGGAGAGCGUUCUAAGGGCGUUGAAGCAUGAUCGUAAGGACAUGUGGAGCGCUUAGAAGUGAGAAUGCCGGUGUGAGUAGCGAAAGACGGGUGAGAAUCCCGUCCACCGAUUGACUAAGGUUUCCAGAGGAAGGCUCGUCCGCUCUGGGUUAGUCGGGUCCUAAGCUGAGGCCGACAGGCGUAGGCGAUGGAUAACAGGUUGAUAUUCCUGUACCACCUAUAAUCGUUUUAAUCGAUGGGGGGACGCAGUAGGAUAGGCGAAGCGUGCGAUUGGAUUGCACGUCUAAGCAGUAAGGCUGAGUAUUAGGCAAAUCCGGUACUCGUUAAGGCUGAGCUGUGAUGGGGAGAAGACAUUGAGUCUUCGAGUCGUUGAUUUCACACUGCCGAGAAAAGCCUCUAGAUAGAAAAUAGGUGCCCGUACCGCAAACCGACACAGGUAGUCAAGAUGAGAAUUCUAAGGUGAGCGAGCGAACUCUCGUUAAGGAACUCGGCAAAAUGACCCCGUAACUUCGGGAGAAGGGGUGCUCUUUAGGGUUAACGCCCAGAAGAGCCGCAGUGAAUAGGCCCAAGCGACUGUUUAUCAAAAACACAGGUCUCUGCUAAACCGUAAGGUGAUGUAUAGGGGCUGACGCCUGCCCGGUGCUGGAAGGUUAAGAGGAGUGGUUAGCUUCUGCGAAGCUACGAAUCGAAGCCCCAGUAAACGGCGGCCGUAACUAUAACGGUCCUAAGGUAGCGAAAUUCCUUGUCGGGUAAGUUCCGACCCGCACGAAAGGCGUAACGAUUUGGGCACUGUCUCAACGAGAGACUCGGUGAAAUCAUAGUACCUGUGAAGAUGCAGGUUACCCGCGACAGGACGGAAAGACCCCGUGGAGCUUUACUGUAGCCUGAUAUUGAAAUUCGGCACAGCUUGUACAGGAUAGGUAGGAGCCUUUGAAACGUGAGCGCUAGCUUACGUGGAGGCGCUGGUGGGAUACUACCCUAGCUGUGUUGGCUUUCUAACCCGCACCACUUAUCGUGGUGGGAGACAGUGUCAGGCGGGCAGUUUGACUGGGGCGGUCGCCUCCUAAAAGGUAACGGAGGCGCUCAAAGGUUCCCUCAGAAUGGUUGGAAAUCAUUCAUAGAGUGUAAAGGCAUAAGGGAGCUUGACUGCGAGACCUACAAGUCGAGCAGGGUCGAAAGACGGACUUAGUGAUCCGGUGGUUCCGCAUGGAAGGGCCAUCGCUCAACGGAUAAAAGCUACCCCGGGGAUAACAGGCUUAUCUCCCCCAAGAGUUCACAUCGACGGGGAGGUUUGGCACCUCGAUGUCGGCUCAUCGCAUCCUGGGGCUGUAGUCGGUCCCAAGGGUUGGGCUGUUCGCCCAUUAAAGCGGUACGCGAGCUGGGUUCAGAACGUCGUGAGACAGUUCGGUCCCUAUCCGUCGUGGGCGUAGGAAAUUUGAGAGGAGCUGUCCUUAGUACGAGAGGACCGGGAUGGACAUACCUCUGGUGUACCAGUUGUCGUGCCAACGGCAUAGCUGGGUAGCUAUGUGUGGACGGGAUAAGUGCUGAAAGCAUCUAAGCAUGAAGCCCCCCUCAAGAUGAGAUUUCCCAACUUCGGUUAUAAGAUCCCUCAAAGAUGAUGAGGUUAAUAGGUUCGAGGUGGAAGCAUGGUGACAUGUGGAGCUGACGAAUACUAAUCGAUCGAAGACUUAAUCAA
RNAcentral lists this ribosomal RNA (2923 nucleotides) under Staphylococcus aureus. Its description in RNAcentral is "23S ribosomal RNA". It matches the Rfam family "Bacterial large subunit ribosomal RNA". Lineage: Bacteria; Bacillati; Bacillota; Bacilli; Caryophanales; Staphylococcaceae. The record is from RNAcentral.